Long non-coding RNA from Thunnus maccoyii (southern bluefin tuna), 1132 nucleotides. RefSeq lists it as uncharacterized. The record is from RefSeq and is a predicted model, not a curated record. Lineage: Eukaryota; Metazoa; Chordata; Actinopteri; Scombriformes; Scombridae. The transcript is spliced from 3 exons.
AGUUCUGAAUGAAAUUGUUGUUUUCUGGAGUAAGUCAGCUUGUAAAUCAAUGGAGCUGUUUGGGAGGCUUUCUUUUAUUUAUCUUAUUUCGUAGCCUCCUUGCAUCACGACCACUAACUUCACCAUUGAUCCAUUCUUCCACGGGGUGUAUACCCGGUUCCUUUUCGGAGAGCAGCAAGCUCUUUGCUCUCCUACACACUAAACACCCUAACUUCCCAGCCUUGACAUCAAGCCAAGCAUUGUGGUCUUUCCAUUUGCCCACCUGCUUCAUUGUCUAACCAGCCAGCAGGUCACUUAUGUUAGCAGCCUCCUGACCUCUGUGUCCCUGUCAACUUCAACUUGACAUGGUUCUGGGGAUUGACUGGGCAGGAGAGGAACCCCAACUCACCUGUGCAUGUGCUAGUAGCUGCAGAGGCACCAGCAUUAGCUCCAGGUUGUAUGGGGUAAUGUUUUCUAACAGCAACAGUGCCACCCACAGAAGAAGGUCUUAUCAGAAAGAACCAGGUUUGACGGAAGAGAAUGUGGGUUCCCAGUGUCCCAGGAAGCUCUACACCAGUUUGAUGACAUUCUGCCAGCUCAGAGCAGUCUGUGUGUCGAUGAUAAUCUCCAAAUUCAUUUUGUGGACUUGGAGAGACAGAGUGGGCUAGCUCCACCAGUCAACUGAACAACUACUGUUGAGAAUUACAUAUCACCGAAAAAUACUUUAGCAUCUUCGGUUCCUAAUUCUGUAACAUUAGAUAUUUGUCUGGUAGACAUGCCUUUGUAACCUCUGCCAUGAAAGUUAAGUUUUCUCAAAAACUACUGGGUGGUUUGAUGUGCUAUUUGUGAGGCACAUUCAUGCUCCCAGGAGGGCAUUGACUUUAGGGGUCUUGUGAAUGUCCUUUAAGAGCUGCUUUUAAGAAGAAAAAGAUAUUAGGUAUUUAAGAAUAGAUUGGGGCAGAAAGCAAUUGCUGCAUUUUUAUGUGUUGAAACUUUUUUUUCUUGUGGCUACUUUCAAAUCAGUGGAGGUGGUUUGUUAAUUCUGAUAAACCACAUGAGGCACAACAAUGGAACCCAUAUACCUGUUUAAAUUCUUAUUGACUGUAUGUGAUUGUGGAUUUACAUGUUCUUAAUUAAAGGUUCCUUGAACUGA